GGAGAGGUGGCCGAGCGGUCGAAGGCGCGCGCCUGCUAAGCGCGUGUAGGCCGAAAGGUCUACCCUGGGUUCAAAUCCCAGCCUCUCCG
RNAcentral lists this transfer RNA (89 nucleotides) under bacterium. RNAcentral's name for it is "tRNA-Ser". It matches the Rfam family "tRNA". Rfam says of the family: Transfer RNA (tRNA) molecules are approximately 80 nucleotides in length. Their secondary structure includes four short double-helical elements and three loops (D, anti-codon, and T loops). The record is from RNAcentral. RNAcentral also lists the same sequence under 2 other names.